Molecule: ribosomal RNA, 143 nt
Filed under: Escherichia coli
Lineage: Bacteria; Pseudomonadati; Pseudomonadota; Gammaproteobacteria; Enterobacterales; Enterobacteriaceae
Description: partial 16S ribosomal RNA
Rfam family: Bacterial small subunit ribosomal RNA
Source: RNAcentral
UUAAAUUGAAGAGUUUGAUCAUGGCUCAGAUUGAACGCUGGCGGCAGGCCUAACACAUGCAAGUCGAACGGUAACAGGAAACAGCUUGCUGUUUCGCUGACGAGUGGCGGACGGGUGAGUAAUGUCUGGGAAACUGCCCGAUG